GAUGAACGCUGGCGGCGUGCUUAACACAUGCAAGUCGAACGAACCUUCGGGUUAGUGGCGGACGGGUGAGUAACGCGUGGGAACCUGCCCUCAGGAGGGGGAUAACGGCUGGAAACGGCCGCUAAUACCCCAUAUGCCGAGAGGUGAAAUGAAUUUCGCCUGAGGAUGGGCCCGCGUCUGAUUAGCUAGUUGGUGGGGUAAAGGCCUACCAAGGCGACGAUCAGUAGCUGGUCUGAGAGGAUGAUCAGCCACACUGGGACUGAGACACGGCCCAGACUCCUACGGGAGGCAGCAGUGGGGAAUUUUCCGCAAUGGGCGAAAGCCUGACGGAGCAACGCCGCGUGUGGGAUGAAGGCCUCUGGGCUGUAAACCUCUUUUCUCAAGGAAGAAGAUCUGACGGUACUUGAGGAAUAAGCCACGGCUAAUUCCGUGCCAGCAGCCGCGGUAAUACGGGAGUGGCAAGCGUUAUCCGGAAUUAUUGGGCGUAAAGCGUCCGCAGGCGGCCUUACAAGUCUGUCGUUAAAGCGUGGAGCUUAACUCCAUUUCAGCGAUGGAAACUGUAAGGCUAGAGUGUGGUAGGGGCAGAGGGAAUUCCCGGUGUAGUGGUGAAAUGCGUAGAUAUCGGGAAGAACACCAGUGGCGAAGGCGCUCUGCUGGGCCAUAACUGACGCUCAUGGACGAAAGCCAGGGGAGCGAAAGGGAUUAGAUACCCCUGUAGCCCUGGCCGUAAACGAUGAACACUAGGUGUCGGGGGAUCGACCCCUCGGUGUCGUAGCCAACGCGUUAAGUGUUCCGCCUGGGAGUACGCACGCAGUGUGAAACUCAAGGAUUGACGGGGCCGCACAGCGGUGGAGUAUGUGGUUAUUCGAUGCAACGCGAAGAACCUUACCAGGGUUUGACAUCCUGCGAAUCCCUUGAAACGAGGGAGUGCCUUCGGGAGCGCAGAGACAGGUGGUGCAUGGCUGUCGUCAGCUCGUGUCGUGAGAUGUUGGGUUAAGUCCCGCAACGAGCGCAACCCACGUCGUUAGUUGCCAGCAUUCAGUUGGGCACUCUAGCGAGACCGCCGGUGAUAAACCGGAGGAAGGUGUGGAUGACGUCAAGUCAUCAUGCCCCUUACAUCCUGGGCUACACACGUACUACAAUGCUACGGACAAAGGGCAGCAAGCUCGCGAGAGUUAGCAAAUCCCAUAAACCGUGGCUCAGUUCAGAUCGUAGGCUGCAACUCGCCUACGUGAAGGAGGAAUCGCUAGUAAUCGCAGGUCAGCAUACUGCGGUGAAUACGUUCCCGGGCCUUGUACACACCGCCCGUCACACCAUGGAAGUUGGCCACGCCCGAAGUCGUUACUCCAACCCUUGUGGAGGAGGACGCCGAAGGUGGGGCUGAUGACUGGGGUG
RNAcentral lists this ribosomal RNA (1395 nucleotides) under uncultured bacterium. RNAcentral describes it as "bacterial SSU rRNA". It matches the Rfam family "Bacterial small subunit ribosomal RNA". The record is from RNAcentral.